This is a long non-coding RNA of Dermacentor albipictus, 1650 nucleotides long. RefSeq lists it as uncharacterized. NCBI's taxonomy places the organism in Eukaryota, Metazoa, Arthropoda, Arachnida, Ixodida, Ixodidae. The record is from RefSeq and is a predicted model, not a curated record.
CGCUGCUGCACGGGCUGAUGGGAAGGGGCGAGCUGGUUCCGCUCCCGGUGCGCCAUGAUUUUGGCCACUUUGCGAAGCUUGGCAGUUCGCGGCACCGUGGUUCGCGGAGAAGUGAUUCUUUAGGCUACGGAGAAGCAGCUGAUCAUAGGGCAGUAGCAGUGAAUCGCAGCAGUCAUGGUAAAUUGCGCGGUUUAUGGAUGCAGCAAUAGGUCGUGGCGAAAAAACAGCGAGAACACAAACGAGGUAAAGUUCUAUGGAGUGCCUUCAGUCAUCUACAACCAAUGCAGCAGGACGCGAGAAUUGUCGGAAAGGCGUCGUGCCGAGUGGUUUCGCCGCAUUCGUCGCGCUGACAUCGACACAAAUUCUCCCAACUACAAAGUGUGCAGUGUUCAUUUCAUUUCUGGAAAGCCAUCUUAUUUGAUGGACGAGACAAAUCCAGACUGGGCACCAAGUCUUCAGUUAGGGUACUCAACAAACCCUACAGAUCUUGCAGUGGGCAGGUCAGCCAAGCCGCAGUGACAACGGUCUUGGAACGCUGCCUUGAUGUCAUGCACAGACACCUGAGCCAGCUUGUGGAGUGGCCAGAUCGGUAGGAGCUACUACGAACCAUGCCCAUGUGCUUUCGUAGAGCAUUUGGAACUAGAGUGCCUGUAAUAAUUGACUACUUCAAAGUGUUUCUAGAGGGGUCAUCUUCAUUUCUUCCACACUGUCAUACAUGGUCACAAUACAAGCAUCGUAAUACUGUAAAAUCUCAUUGGAAUUGCACCUCGGGGUUCCAUUACCUACAUCUCUAAAGGACGGGGUGGGCAUACAAGCGACAAGCUCCUGAUCGAGCACUGUGGUAUUCUAAACAACCUUUUACCAGGAGACACUGCUUAUGGACCGAGGUUUCACUAUUGCCGAUGCCGUAGGGAUUCUUUGUGCACGUCUUAAAGGGCUAGCGUUCACAAAAGGGAAGUGACAGCUCACGGCCUGGGAGGAGGAGAAGAAACGAAAGAUAGCCAAUGUUCACAUACAAGUAGAGAGAGUCAUUGGGCUAUUGCGUCGGAAGUAUGCAAUUUUAUCCUCGAUUAUUCCAAUCGAGCUUGUGAUGGUAAGAAGUGGAGACAUGGUAGCACAACUAGACAAAAUUGUGACAGUAUGCUCUGCCUUGACUAAUCUCUGCAAGUCUGUUGUGCCGUUCCAGUGAAUUCGGCAUAUGUUGUCAUUACUUUAAUUCAACAAAUAGUCUUGGUUUGGAACAGCUUUUUCCCUCUACGAGUGCUUGAAUUGCAGAAAAGUACAGACUAGUUGGACAUGCCCUGCGUGUUUGUGUGACGUGCUUCCAAGUCAUCCUGUGUGCUCCCCUGUCAACUGAUUAAUGUACCCUGAUCAAGGCUGCUGCUUUUUCUUGCAAGGCUUACAAGCUAGGCAGAACCAUGCCUUGGUCAUUGGUGGACGUUUCUGAUUUGCACAUGCAAUAUGGCACCAUUUAGUAGGACACUGUCGGCCACUGCACUUAACCCUUCCACCGUAUUCAGAAUCACUACAAUAACAGUAGCAUUCACUGUCUGCUGAACUUUCAUCACAUGUAAGCAUUGUUUCUUGCUGUGGCAAGGUAGUCCAGUGUUUAAAUAAAAGCUGCAGGAGGAAAACCUGUUCAAAGAAUGC